GAUGAACGCUGGCGGUAUGCUUAACACAUGCAAGUCGAACGGUCACUUCGGUGAUAGUGGCGGACGGGUGAGUAACGCGUGAGAAUCUGUCUUCAGGUCGGGGACAACAGUUAGAAAUGACUGCUAAUACCGGAUGUGCCUUUGGGUGAAAGAUUUAUUGCCUGAAAAAGAGCUCGCGUCAGAUUAGCUAGUAGGUGGUGUAAGAGACUACCUAGGCUCCGAUCUGUAGCUGGUCUGAGAGGACGAUCAGCCACACUGGAACUGAGACACGGUCCAGACUCCUACGGGAGGCAGCAGUGGGGAAUUUUCCGCAAUGGGCGAAAGCCUGACGGAGCACUACCGCGUGAGGGACGAAGGCUUUUGGGUCGUAAACCUCUUUUCUCAAGGAAGAUGAUGACGGUACUUGAGGAAUAAGCAUCGGCUAACUCUGUG
RNAcentral lists this ribosomal RNA (432 nucleotides) under uncultured bacterium. RNAcentral's name for it is "partial 16S ribosomal RNA". It matches the Rfam family "Bacterial small subunit ribosomal RNA", at positions 28 to 507 of the family's 1533-position model. The record is from RNAcentral.